GUGUGAGGUGGUGCUAUGUAGCAGGAACCCCUCUUGCUUUGCAAAUAGUUUUUUGUUUGUUUUCCUUUUUGCCCAAUAGAGCCCUGCUCUACUGACCCUUCAAUGUGCCCGUGUGCCUAAAUAUUCCUGGUCGUGUGAAAAGAACCCAGGUAUUAGCUGAACUAAGGAGCACAAUUCUGCAACAUUUUGGCACCCAAACACGGGGCUUGAGAAAUGAAUGCAAUUGGAGAAACUGGUUGUUUUACCAGGCGUUGAUUGGAAAUGUGUGCUUCCCUUUAAGCAGUCAAGCUCAACUUGCAGAACUGAUGGGAACCCCUUGGGAAAACUGGCCUCAAAUGUUUGUCUACACAGUCCACAUACAGGGUUCUUAACCUGCGACUGACCCUGCUUGUGCCUGUGAACCAACCAACAAUCUCUGGCUGCAGCUCAGAAAGGACAAAAGAGAAUGGAUGAGGGAAACUUCCCAGGGCUUGUCUGGGUAUGCCCACAGUGGACUGGAGCCCAAAAUGCACACUGGAGGAAGUGGAUGGAGCCACGUGGAUGUCAUGCCUUAUGCAGGGGAGGAGCCUGCUCUCUUCAGCUCCUGUGGUAAUGUGGGAAUCGAUCUGUGAGGAAACACUUUCUGAAAAUGUCAGAACUCUUGAAAACAUGGAUGAGGAAAAGCAUAAGUACUGCUUUAUGCUUUUCUUAUGAAUUUUAAAAGAUGUAAUUUAAAGAUUGAAACUCCCACAACUUUGGCAGACCAACUCCUCAGAAAACAUUAUUCUUUGACAUCAAUAUGUUUUGCACAAAAUUGAAUGGCAAGUGAAAGGCAUCAAAUGCAUAUUUAACUAUCCGGCUAUUUUGGAGAUUGAAAAAAGAAGACCUGAUUUAUCAUGUGCAAUAUCUCACACAUCUGUCAUUUCUAUUCUACCGCAAUUCGAUGGAGUCUUGUUCUGUGGUCCAGGCUAGAGGGCAGUGGCAUGAUCUCGGCUCACUACAAGCUCUGCCUCCCGGGUUCACGCCAUUCUCCUGCCUCAGCCUCCUGAGUAGCUGGGACUACAGGCGCCCGCCACCACGCCUGGCUAAUUUUUUGUAUAUUUACUAGAGAUGGCUAGUGUUAGCCAAGAUGGUCUCGAUCUCCUGACCUCGUGAUCUGCCCACCUCAGCCUGCCAAAGUGCUGGGAUUACUGGCGUGAGCCACCGUGCCUGGCCAGCAUCCUCUAAUUAUUAUUCAUAGUUUGUGAAUUUAGGCCUACGUGAAUAAUAAUAUAAUAUUUACUAUGAUGUUACUAUCUACCAACCUUAUUUUUCUUUUCUAUAAAAUAGGAGCCAAAAUAAUAUUUAUGUCAUACCUUAUGAAGUUAAAAUAAAAUAUAACGAAUGAGGG
This 1369-nucleotide long non-coding RNA is filed under the name Homo sapiens (human). RNAcentral's name for it is "p53 upregulated regulator of p53 levels". Lineage: Eukaryota; Metazoa; Chordata; Mammalia; Primates; Hominidae. The record is from RNAcentral.